Long non-coding RNA from Amblyraja radiata (thorny skate), 222 nucleotides. RefSeq lists it as uncharacterized. The transcript is spliced from 3 exons. The record is from RefSeq and is a predicted model, not a curated record. Lineage: Eukaryota; Metazoa; Chordata; Chondrichthyes; Rajiformes; Rajidae.
UUCAAUGCCAAGCAGCUAAACGAAGAUAACUGCUAUUCUCAGUUAACCCCAGGAGAGGCGGAAGAGACCAAGCUACACAUCUGUAAACUUAACCGAGAGAUGCUGCACCUUUCUCAUCAGGUCACUCAGCUGAGUAAGGAAUUGCAGGACAUGAUGCUGCUUCUGAAACCUCUGCUGACCUGCCAUAGGUACGACCUUGCCUCCCCUGACCUUGUGCUGCAC